GUAUGUGCAGUGGGCACAUAAGGUUCAGGCAGCCCUCAUCUGCUCUUCACAGUAGCCCUCUAUAUGCCGCGAUGCUUGGCCCCUGUGAGACCUGGAGGAGGUGUGGGGAUGGGCCCAUGCCGGCACCUCUGGCCGAGAAGAGCACUGCAAAAGGAAGCUGCUCAGAAGCCCCUGGGUGUUUCAGGAGGAGGAUUCACCCUUUGAUGUAA
This 209-nucleotide long non-coding RNA is filed under the name Anser brachyrhynchus (Pink-footed goose). Its description in RNAcentral is "lncRNA (ENSABRG00000005064.1)". The record is from RNAcentral. Lineage: Eukaryota; Metazoa; Chordata; Aves; Anseriformes; Anatidae.